Molecule: long non-coding RNA, 2044 nt
Filed under: Taeniopygia guttata (zebra finch)
Lineage: Eukaryota; Metazoa; Chordata; Aves; Passeriformes; Estrildidae
Description: lncRNA (ENSTGUG00000027261.1)
Source: RNAcentral
AAACCUAGAGAAAUUAAGGAUUUUGACACUAAAGUAAAGAUCUCUCUCACAAAAGAUAUGUAGGUAGCUGAUUUUCCUUGUCUAUAAUACAGAAUUUCUCCUAACAUUUUUCCAUAGAGGCCUUAUUUGUAAAAUGUGACUUUUUCCUUUGCUACAAAAUGACUCAUUUUCAAAAAAAUCUGGAUGUUGAAAAGAAAAAAUCCAAGUUGCAAAUUUAAUGCAAAACUCUGGGUCUUUUUAGCUUUUAAACUUGAUGCACAGGGGAAUGUAUGUGAAGGGAUAGAAAUCUGGGUCACAGCAUGAAAUUCCUGUUUUUGUAUUCAUAAAAAACAAACUCUAUAUAUCAAAGGAAGGAGGUGUGAAGUAGUAAAAAAGAAAAGGAGAAAAGCAGUCUAAAAUAUUCUCAGCUCGCGAUAUUUCUCAAAAACAUAUUGAGUUCUUUUAAGAUGUUACAUGAUUUCCUCAGACCAUUACUGAAAAAAAAUGUUACUUUCUUUGCUAAUAACUGCUCUAAAUUUCUCUUCUGGAGAAUUAAUGAAACAUUUUAAAUUUUCUAGUGCUUUCUGCUAUCAAAAUAUGAUCCUAGGAUCUGUGGUCUUGCAAAAUGCUCGGGGAAUAGAGACUCUGAUUUGGAGCAAAGGGACUUAUCCAUUGAGACUUCUGGAAGGUCCUGAACCUUUUAUUCAUCCUUCCACAUUGAGAUAAAGUAUAGACUGGCUUGGGUCUUCUCUCACUUGUGAUACUGAUUGACACUCCCAUCAAAAUUAUCAGUGAAAGUAUAGAUCUAAAUGUCUCAUAAAUAUAUUUUGUAUGAAUGGCAAAGUUUUGGCAGAGGAUGUGGGGGUGGUCUUUGGGGGAAGAAACAUGGGACUGACUGACUUUUGUCUGAUACAACCAGUAUCUCCAAAGCAGACCUACCACAGGGUGCAGCUGAUCCUAUCAGCUGAAUUGUUGGCACCUUUGUGAACACAUGUAAAAGAAAGAACAAAAAACACCAGAGGAAAAAAAAAGAAUGAGAAACAAGAGGGAACAACAGAGUCAGAGAAGGGGGAGCAGAUAUAAGACUGAGGGAACUGUGGCCUGAGGAAAAUCCACAGUACAGUGUAAGCAAAGGACGACAGAGAAACUAUUGUGUAAUUGACCUCCAUCUCCAGUGCUGCUUGUUACCUUGUCUCAGGGACUGAGUGUAACCUGUAUCAAUAAUGAGUGUGGAGAGCAGUCUGAAGUGAAUGAGUAGAGUGGAAGCAAGGAAGAAGGGACAGGAGUCCUCCAUUCCUGGUAAAGUGAAAGAAAAGAUGAUUUUUCCCUCAGAACUUAAUGCUUGUCUUGUUUUAUUUUGCUAUGCUCUAAUCAGUAAUUAAAUAGUUAUGCAAUUUGCAAUAAAUUAAUAUCUCGAGUUUGUUUUGCCUGUGACAGUAAUUAGCAAGUGACUUUUCUACCUUCACCUUUGUGGUGGUCGGGGGAGAUGGAGACAUGACAUGGCAUCAGAGUUCAAGCAGCAGAGAGAGCUUUAAUGUCCUGCACAGCUCUGAAUAGAGGCCAUUCAAGAGACUGCAAGUUCAAACCUGAUUGGCUACGAUUUGGUUACCCCCAGCUCACUGCCAACAGCUGCCUGCUUACGUCUUCUUCAGGGAUUGGCUGUCAUCCUCUCUCUGCAGCCAAAUCCCUCCUCUUCUCCCAUAUCCAGCUAUAGGGGAGAGAAAGAGGGGAGUGAGCAAAUUCCUGGUUGGUUCUUGGGUGGUAGUUGAGGUGAAUUCACCAUGGCAUUCUAUAGUAAUUUUUCUCCCUCCCUCCUUCUUCUCUUCACUUUUUUUUUUUUUUCUUUUCACCUUUUACUCUUUAGUCUUAUUUUCUUUCCCUUUAUAACAGUUUGAAUGGCAGAAAUCUAUUAAACAUAGCUGGCAAUAAGGUUAUUGUUCUUGCAAUUAAUUCUUGCUACGAUUGGUUCCACAAUAAAAAAAAAAAUAGGAAACUGUUCCUAUUGGAGAUGCUUCCAACAAUAUGAUAUUGGCAUCUAGAUCACAUUGUUGAAAGGGAUAGUCUA